This 17-nucleotide small RNA is filed under the name Arabidopsis thaliana (thale cress). RNAcentral describes it as "ATSL216770". Lineage: Eukaryota; Viridiplantae; Streptophyta; Magnoliopsida; Brassicales; Brassicaceae. The record is from RNAcentral.
UUUUUUGUGUUUUUUUU